AUGGAGGCGUCGCUCAGGUGCUUGGUGGAGUCGAAGGAAACCUGCGGGCGGGCGGGGGGCGGCACACAGCACGGUUCGCCACGCGCGGGAGCGGGCCGGACCGGACGGCGGCCGGCUGGGUUGGGCCGCGCCGCACGCAGCGCGCUCGCUCCGCGGAGCCCUGCCGGGGAGCGAGCGCGGGUCUCGGCCGGCGUGUGGGCCCGGGCGCCCGCGGACGCCCCCGACGGCACACGCUCCCUUCGCGGCCGGGGACUGAGCUUCCCGGCGAAGCCGCAACCUGACCCGGACGCGACCCGGCCUCAGCGAUUACGUGAAAACACAAAGUCGCCCUGUGACGACGGGGGGGAUCUCGCAUCGUGCCGGCGGGAUCCCACCGCGCGCUCUGACCGAGGCCGCCACGGCGCGUCUGCCUCCGCUAACGAGGACGGCCGGCGCUCGCAGGGGCACGCGGCCCCCGGGUCGUCCAGGAGGAGGCCGACCCCAGUGCGAGUUGGCGGCGGCACAGGGGACCCUCGGCCCCGGGUGACGGGGACGCUGGGGAGGCCCGCGGCCCCGCUGGGGCGCGGUUUCGGGGUGCUUCUAUGGCGAGGGUCUCCGCCUGGCACCCCAUCCCCCACACGGAAAUGCUCUCACAUCCGCGUCCGGACGCGGGUGUGUCCAGGGCCGAGUGCGUCUGGCCGCUGGUUUCAACGCACCUGCGCUAGCCGGGCCUGCGGCCGCCCAGCCGGAGAGCCACCUGCGUGCAUGCGUGCGCGCGCACGGCCACGAGACAGGCCCCGGGGGCCCGCACACGGGACAGGGCGGGGCGGGGCGGGCGCUCACCUUGAUGUUGCAGGCCACCGCCUUGCCGUCCUCGCCCUUGUACAUGAGCUUCAUGCCGCGCAGGGCGCUCAUGGCCUGGAUGAAGCCCACGUACUCGCGGUACUGCACGUACGCCUCGAAGUUCAGGUGGCCCCCGAAACUGAAGGUGUGGAAGUUGCGGCCGGUCAUCUCCUCGCGGUAGGGGUCCAGCAUGGGGAUGUCCACGUUGCGGAUCGCCCCGAACUUCUCGAACACCUUCACCAGCACCUCCUCGCUGGGCUUCUCGGAGCCCGAGUCCUUGAGCGCGAACCACUUUGCAGGGCAGGCCCUCCACGUGGAUGGUGUCGGGCCGCUCGCCCGGCAGCGUCUCGUUCAUGUCCUUGGCGUCGCGGAAGAAGGAGUCCCAGUCGUGGCGCGUGGGGAAGUCGAUCCUGA
This 1236-nucleotide long non-coding RNA is filed under the name Felis catus (domestic cat). RNAcentral describes it as "lncRNA (ENSFCAG00000048891.1)". Lineage: Eukaryota; Metazoa; Chordata; Mammalia; Carnivora; Felidae. The record is from RNAcentral.